GGGGGGAGGCCAGAUCCUGGGCUGUGUCCCCGGAGCCCUGUGCUCCCGGGCCUGGGCUGUUGGAUUCGGCUCCCGGCCAAGCAGCCCCCU
This 90-nucleotide microRNA precursor is filed under the name Canis lupus familiaris (dog). RNAcentral's name for it is "mir-8799 microRNA precursor family". It matches the Rfam family "mir-8799 microRNA precursor family". Lineage: Eukaryota; Metazoa; Chordata; Mammalia; Carnivora; Canidae. The record is from Rfam by way of RNAcentral. RNAcentral also lists the same sequence under 1 other name.